GACGAAGGGGGCUAGCGUUGUUCGGAAUUACUGGGCGUAAAGCGCGUGUAGGCGGUUGUCCAAGUUGGAUGUGAAAGCCUUGAGCUCAACUCAAGAAAUGCAUUCAGGACUGGAUGACUAGAGGACCGGAGAGGAUAGUGGAAUUCCCAGUGUAGUGGUGAAAUACGUAGAGAUUGGGAAGAACACCAGUGGCGAAGGCGGCUAUCUGGACGGUUUCUGACGCUAAGACGCGAAAGCGUGGGGAGCGAACCGG
RNAcentral lists this ribosomal RNA (253 nucleotides) under uncultured bacterium. RNAcentral describes it as "partial 16S ribosomal RNA". It matches the Rfam family "Bacterial small subunit ribosomal RNA", at positions 524 to 776 of the family's 1533-position model. The record is from RNAcentral.